This 508-nucleotide ribosomal RNA is filed under the name uncultured Polyangiaceae bacterium. Its description in RNAcentral is "bacterial SSU rRNA". It matches the Rfam family "Bacterial small subunit ribosomal RNA", at positions 8 to 492 of the family's 1533-position model. The record is from RNAcentral. Lineage: Bacteria; Pseudomonadati; Myxococcota; Polyangiales; Polyangiaceae.
AGAGUUUGAUCCUGGCUCAGAGCGAACGUUAGCGGCGGGCCUAACACAUGCAAGUCGAACGAGAAUGUAGGCUUCGGUCUACUAGUAAAGUGGCAGACGGGUGCGUAACACGUGGGUAAUCUACCUUCCGGCGGGGGACAACAGUCCGAAAGGAUUGCUAAUACCGCGUACGUCAGCGGUGCCUACGGGCACUGUUGGGAAAGACGGCCUCUCCUUGGAAGCUGUCACCGGAAGAUGAGCCCGCGCCCCAUCAGCUAGUUGGUGAGGUAAUGGCUCACCAAGGCUUAGACGGGUAGCUGGUCUGAGAGGAUGAUCAGCCACACUGGGACUGCGACACGGCCCAGACUCCUACGGGAGGCAGCAGUGGGGAAUAUUGGGCAAUGGGCGCAAGCCUGACCCAGCCACGCCGCGUGAGUGAUGAAGGCCUUCGGGUCGUAAAGCUCUGUGGGGAGGGACGAACAAAUCUGGGGCUAAUCACCCGGAUCCUGACGGUACCUCCUAGCAAGAC